UACAGAGGGGGCAAGCGUUAUUCGGAAUUAUUGGGCGUAAAGGGCGCGUAGGCGGCUUUUCAAGUGGCGGGUGAAAGCCCUCGGCUUAACCGAGGAACUGCCUGUCAGACUGGAUCGCUUGAGACCGGGAGAGGUGAGUGGAAUUCCCAGUGUAGCGGUGAAAUGCGUAGAUAUUGGGAGGAACACCAGUGGCGAAGGCGGCUCACUGGACCGGUACUGACGCUGAGGCGCGAAAGCGUGGGGAGCAAACAGG
RNAcentral lists this ribosomal RNA (253 nucleotides) under uncultured bacterium. Its description in RNAcentral is "partial 16S ribosomal RNA". It matches the Rfam family "Bacterial small subunit ribosomal RNA", at positions 524 to 776 of the family's 1533-position model. The record is from RNAcentral.